GACGAACGCUGGCGGCGUGCUUAACACAUGCAAGUCGAACGGAAAGGCCCUGCUUUUGUGGGGUGCUCGAGUGGCGAACGGGUGAGUAACACGUGAGUAACCUGCCCUUGACUUUGGGAUAACUUCAGGAAACUGGGGCUAAUACCGGAUAGGAGCUCCUGCUGCAUGGUGGGGGUUGGAAAGUUUCGGCGGUUGGGGAUGGACUCGCGGCUUAUCAGCUUGUUGGUGGGGUAGUGGCUUACCAAGGCUUUGACGGGUAGCCGGCCUGAGAGGGUGACCGGCCACAUGGGGGCUGGGGAGCGGCCGGGAGUCCGCGGGGGGGAAGAGGGGGGGAAUUGUGCACAGGGGGGGGAGUCUGAACGAGGCCCCGCCGGGUGGGGGAGGGCGGCCUUCGGUUUGAAACCCGCUUGCGCUGGUAAAGAAGGGGGGGGGAGGGUAGGGGAAAAAGAGGAACGGACAAACUAGGGC
RNAcentral lists this ribosomal RNA (468 nucleotides) under uncultured bacterium. RNAcentral's name for it is "partial 16S ribosomal RNA". It matches the Rfam family "Bacterial small subunit ribosomal RNA", at positions 28 to 508 of the family's 1533-position model. The record is from RNAcentral.